AGGGCACAUGGCGGAUGCCUUGGCUCUCGGAGGCGAUGAAGGACGUGAUAAGCUGCGAUAAGCUGCGGGUAGGUGCAAAUGACCUUUGAUCCGCGGAUUUCCGAAUGGGACAACCCGGUACUUUGAAGAAGUAUCAUCCUGCAUUGCAGGAGGCUAACGCAGGGAACUGAAACAUCUUAGUACCUGCAGGAAAAGAAAAUAAACAAUGAUUCCCCCAGUAGUGGCGAGCGAACGGGGAACAGCCCAAACCAUCCAUGUUACGGCAUGGGUGGGGUUGUAGGACCACGCCGUGGCAAGAAAGUUGGUGAGCAGAAUGUUCUGGAAAGUACAGCCAUAGAGCAUGACAGCUGCGUAUGCGAAGCCAAGCGAAGCCUAGUGGUAUCCUGAGUAGCGCGGAGCACGAGGAAUUCUGCGUGAAUCUGCCGGGACCAUCCGGUAAGGCUAAAUACUCCCGAGAGACCGAUAGUGAACCAGUACUGUGAAGGAAAGGUGAAAAGCACUUCGAACAGAAGAGUGAAAUAGUUCCUGAAACCAUGUGCCUACAAGCGGUCGGAGCACCUUCUGGUGUGACGGCGUGCCUUUUGCAUAAUGAACCUACGAGUUACUUUUUCCGGCGAGGUUAAGGAUUUCAGAUCUGCAGCCGAAGCGAAAGCGAGUCUGAACAGGGCGUAUAGUCGGAAGGAGUAGACGCGAAACCAAGUGAUCUACCCUUGGGCAGGUUGAAGGAUGGGUAACACCAUCUGGAGGACCGAACCAAUAAGCGUUGAAAAGCUUCUGGAUGACCUGAGGGUGGGGGUGAAAGGCUAAUCAAACUUGGAGAUAGCUCGUACUCCCCGAAAUGCAUUUAGGUGCAGCCUUGACUUAUACUGGCAUGAGGUAGAGCGACUGAUAAGAUGCGAGGGCUUCACCGCCUAUCAAGUCUUGACAAACUCCGAAUGCGUGUCAGUUCUAUGUCAGGAGUGAGGGCAUGGGUGCUAAGGUCCAUGUCCUAAAGGAGAACAAUCCGGACCAACAGCUAAGGUCCCGAAAUGAAUACUAAGUUGAACUAACGAAGUCAGAUUGCUAAGACAGCUAGGAUGUUGGCUUGGAAGCAGCCAUUCAUUUAAAGAGUGCGUAACAGCUCACUAGUCGAGGAGUUUGGCGUGGAUAAUAAUCGGGCAUAAGUAUUCUACCGAAGCUUUGGGAUGAGAAAUCAUCGGUAGGGGAGCAUUCCACUCGGCGUCGAAGGUGAAGCGCGAGCUUUGCUGGAGCGUGUGGAAAAGCAAAUGUAGGUAUAAGUAACGAUAAAGGGGGUGGGAAACCCCCUCGCCGAAAGACUAAGGUUUCCUGAUCAACGCUAAUCGGAUCAGGGUAAGUCGGGUCCUAAGGCUCAGCCGAACGGCGAGGCCGAUGGCAGAACCGGUUAAUAUUCCGGUACUACCUGUGGGAGUGACGUGGAGACGGAGUCGUGACAGCGCCGCGGACUGACGGAAUAGUCCGUUGAAGGGUGUAGAUGCUGAUUGUUCCAGGCAAAUCCGGAGCAAGAGUCGAACCUGACAGUAUGGAGCGUUCUUAGAACAAUCCAAUAGUGCGUGUAAUCAUACUUCCAAGAAAAUCCGCUAAACUUAAUCCUGCAGGUACCCGUACCGCAAACGGACACACGUAGUCGGGUUGAAUAUACUAAGGCGCUUGAGUGAUUCACGGUUAAGGAACUAGGCAAACUGACCCUGUAACUUCGGGAUAAAGGGUCCUCGCUUUACGGCGAGGCGCAGAGAAUAGGUCCAGGCAACUGUUUAACAAAAACACAGGGCUGUGCAAAAUUGAAAGAUGAAGUAUACAGCCUGACACCUGCCCGGUGCUGGAAGGUUAAGAGGAGAUGUCAUCGCAAGAGAAGCAUUGAAUUGAAGCCCCAGUAAACGGCGGCCGUAACUAUAACGGUCCUAAGGUAGCGAAAUUCCUUGUCGGGUAAGUUCCGACCUGCACGAAUGGUGUAAUGAUCUGGACGCUGUCUCAACCGUGAGCUCAGUGAAAUUGUAGUAUCGGUGAAGAUGCCGAUUACCCGCGAUGG
Molecule: ribosomal RNA, 2047 nt
Filed under: gut metagenome
Description: bacterial LSU rRNA
Rfam family: Bacterial large subunit ribosomal RNA
Source: RNAcentral